Long non-coding RNA from Suricata suricatta (meerkat), 386 nucleotides. RefSeq lists it as uncharacterized. The transcript is spliced from 2 exons. NCBI's taxonomy places the organism in Eukaryota, Metazoa, Chordata, Mammalia, Carnivora, Herpestidae. The record is from RefSeq and is a predicted model, not a curated record.
AGUGAAUUGGGACAGAAGAGCAAGUGUUUCCUGAUGAUAUCGUCAGAUUUCAUUGUUUAAGAAGCAGUCCAGUUUCCACACCGCAAUUUAUUGUCAUUUCUCAAAGACAGUAAUGACACUUUACAUUUCCACAAUGCUUCAGUCUUUCAUCCUUGGAAUGUGGAUUCCAUCUCUCAGUGGAGCACCUCAGAAAUCAAAGCUCUGGGAGAUAACUUCUCUGGCAUGAAGCUUCUGAUAACUUCUCUGUAUUAGUGAGACUUGCCAAUAAUCAGGAAAGAGUGGGGCUAUUCAAUAUCAGAAGAGCACCAACUACAUUCUGUACAUCAUAUAGAGAUUAACAAAUAAAUAAACACAUCAACAAAUAAACACCUACAGUUUACUAGGAA